UCCCCGCACACACUGUGCGUGCGGGGGGGACACGCCGUACCGAUGAAGAAUGUAGCGAAAUGCGAUACUUAGUUUGAAUUGCAGAAUCCCGUGAAUCAUCGAGUCUUUGAACGUAAGUUGCGCCCGAGGCCUCGGCCGAGGGCACAUUUGCCUGGGCGUUGCAC
This 164-nucleotide ribosomal RNA is filed under the name Ginkgo biloba (maidenhair tree). Its description in RNAcentral is "5.8S ribosomal RNA". The stretch from base 35 to 161 matches the Rfam family "5.8S ribosomal RNA", at positions 28 to 154 of the family's 154-position model. Rfam says of the family: 5.8S ribosomal RNA (5.8S rRNA) is a component of the large subunit of the eukaryotic ribosome. It is transcribed by RNA polymerase I as part of the 45S precursor that also contains 18S and 28S rRNA. Lineage: Eukaryota; Viridiplantae; Streptophyta; Ginkgoopsida; Ginkgoales; Ginkgoaceae. The record is from RNAcentral.